AAUGAACGCUGGCGGCAGGCCUAACACAUGCAAGUCGAACGGAUCCUUCGGGAUUAGUGGCGGACGGGUGAGUAACGCGUGGGAACAUACCCUUUGGUACGGAAUAGCCUCGGGAAACUGGGAGUAAUACCGUAUGUGCUCUUCGGAGGAAAGAUUUAUCGCCAAAGGAUUGGCCCGCGUUGGAUUAGGUAGUUGGUGGGGUAAUGGCCUACCAAGCCGACGAUCCAUAGCUGGUUUGAGAGGGUGAUCAGCCACACUGGGACUGAGACACGGCCCAGACUCCUACGGGAGGCAGCAGUGGGGAAUCUUAGACAAUGGGGGAAACCCUGAUCUAGCCAUGCCGCGUGAUCGAUGAAGGCCUUAGGGUUGUAAAGAUCUUUCAGUGGGAAGAUAAUGACGGUACCCACAGAAGAAGCCCCGGCUAACUCCGUGCCAGCAGCCGCGGUAAU
This 449-nucleotide ribosomal RNA is filed under the name uncultured bacterium. RNAcentral's name for it is "bacterial SSU rRNA". It matches the Rfam family "Bacterial small subunit ribosomal RNA", at positions 29 to 524 of the family's 1533-position model. The record is from RNAcentral.